GGAUACCCGCUGAACUUAAGCAUAUCAAUAAGCGGAGGAAAAGAAACCAACAGGGAUUACCUCAGUAACGGCGAGUGAAGCGGUAACAGCUCAAAUUUGAAAGCUGCCAACAGGCCGCAUUGUAAUUUGUAGAAGAUGCUUUGGGUGUUGACCUAGUCUAAGUUCCUUGGAACAGGACGUCAUAGAGGGUGAGAAUCCCGUAUGUGAUUAGUGUUAGCCCCCGUGUAAAGCUCUUUCGACGAGUCGAGUUGUUUGGGAAUGCAGCUCAAAAUGGGUGGUAAAUUUCAUCUAAAGCUAAAUAUUGGCCAGAGACCGAUAGCGCACAAGUAGAGUGAUCGAAGGAUGAAAAGCACUUUGGAAAGAGAGUUAAACAGUACGUGAAAUUGUUGAAAGGGAAGCGCUUGCAAUCAGACUUGCAGGCAGUCGAUCAUCCGAGGUUCUCCCCGGUGCACUCGAUUGUCUUCAGGCCAGCAUCGGUUUCGGUGGUGGGAUAAAGGCUGUGGGAAUGUGGCUCUUCGGAGUGUUAUAGCCCACGGUGCAAUGCCGCCUACCGAGACCGAGGACCGCGCUUCGGCUAGGAUGCUGGCGUAAUGGUUGUAAGCGACC
RNAcentral lists this ribosomal RNA (606 nucleotides) under uncultured fungus. Its description in RNAcentral is "eukaryotic LSU rRNA". It matches the Rfam family "Eukaryotic large subunit ribosomal RNA", at positions 19 to 649 of the family's 3401-position model. The record is from RNAcentral. Lineage: Eukaryota; Fungi.